AGUUGGUAAGGUAAAGGCUUACCAAGGCGACGAUGCGUAGCCGACCUGAGAGGGUGAACGGCCACACUGGGACUGAGACACGGCCCAGACUCCUACGGGAGGCAGCAGUAGGGAAUCUUCCGCAAUGGACGCAAGUCUGACGGAGCAACGCCGCGUGAACGAUGAAGGCCUUCGGGUCGUAAAGUUCUGUUGUUAGGGAAGAACACCUAUAGUGCGAAUAGUGCUAUAGACUGACGGUACCUGAUGAGGAAGCCACGGCUAACUACGUGCCAGCAGCCGCGGUAAUACGUAGGUGGCAAGCGUUGUCCGGAAUUAUUGGGCGUAAAGCGCGCGCAGGCGGCUAAUAAAGUCUGAUGUGAAAUCUCGUGGCUUAACCACGAGCGGCCAUUGGAAACUGGUUAGCUUGAGUGCAGAAGAGGAGAGUGGAAUUCCAUGUGUAGCGGUGAAAUGCGUAGAUAUAUGGAGGAACACCAGUGGCGAAGGCGACUCUCUGGUCUGUAACUGACGCUGAGGCGCGAAAGCGUGGGUAGCAAACAGGAUUAGAUACCCUGGUAGUCCACGCCGUAAACGAUGAGUGCUAGGUGUUAGGGGUAU
Molecule: ribosomal RNA, 594 nt
Filed under: uncultured bacterium
Lineage: Bacteria
Description: bacterial SSU rRNA
Rfam family: Bacterial small subunit ribosomal RNA
Source: RNAcentral